This 1018-nucleotide long non-coding RNA is filed under the name Capra hircus (goat). RNAcentral describes it as "lncRNA (ENSCHIG00010019723.1)". The record is from RNAcentral. Lineage: Eukaryota; Metazoa; Chordata; Mammalia; Artiodactyla; Bovidae.
GUUGAAUAGCUGAAUCCUGAAGCUAAAACACCUUUGCAUCUACCUCUAGUGAAUGAUUCCUUGUAAGGUGCUUAUGAGAGCUUUCAAAGGACAAAGAGAUGGGGGCUUCAAGAAGUUUGCAGAACAGGCGGUGUGAGUUUUUGUGCCUGUGUGGUGAUGUUCAUAUUUGUGUGUGAUACUGUCCGAGACUUGCUUUCAUUACAUCACCCUGCCUGGAACUGCUUGCAUGACAAAGACCUUCAGUUCUCACUUCCUUCUAACAACUGGAGGCUACAGACAUAUUUCCACAUAAUUAGUCACAAAUAAAUUUACUUAGGUCAGUUUGCAACAGGUACCUUGAGGAAGUCACGAAGUUUGACACUAGGCACACACCUCAUACCUCUGAAAACCCUGGAAAGAAAGCUGAAUGGCAAAGAACUGACAGGAAGAACUGAAGUUUACCAAAAAAAAAAAAACACAGUGAGGAAGGCAGUCAAAUGCUUCAGUCCCUGAGACAACGACACGACAAGGACAAACAACAGGAAUGAAAUACCUUAAAAACUCCCAUCUCCAGGAAUUAAAGCAGCCUCUGAGUUGGAAAUCUUGUGAUGAGCUGGAUAACAACAGACUCAAACAUUGUACAAAUGAAUAUACUUACCAGAGCUACCAAGAAGGUUCACGAAAGGUCUUCAAAGGAAACAGGGCUUCCUUUCACACAGACACUGAGAGCUCCUCUCCACCCCUCCCCACAGAUGCAGAAUGCUCAGGAGCAGCGCCAGCUGCACCAUGCGCUCAUUUCUCUUUACUCUCUCCUGCUAUUAUUACCUAUAAACAUGACACAGUGUGCGUGGAUAUGCGUUAAGGACAAAGGUACUUCGGUACUUUUAUUGCUUUGGAGCAAAACAUGGCGAAACCAAAAUGCACCCAAGAAUUCCUCAGUCCCAUUGUUAGGACCAAACUGAAGCCAGGACAGGCUCUAAGGGGCAGGUUAGGCCUGAGGUUUAGUCUCUAGGAAAGCUGAGGCACUGGGAACUCCCAC